RNAcentral lists this ribosomal RNA (229 nucleotides) under Clostridioides difficile. RNAcentral's name for it is "partial 23S ribosomal RNA". It matches the Rfam family "Bacterial large subunit ribosomal RNA", at positions 662 to 890 of the family's 2925-position model. The record is from RNAcentral. Lineage: Bacteria; Bacillati; Bacillota; Clostridia; Peptostreptococcales; Peptostreptococcaceae.
GGAGCCGUAGCGAAAGCGAGUUUUAACUGAGCGUUCAGUUACUUGACGUAGACCCGAAACCGGGCGACCUACCCAUGAGCAGGAUGAAGCGAAAGUAAAAUGUCGUGGAGGUCCGAACCCACGAGCGUUGAAAAGCUCGGGGAUGACUUGUGGGUAGCGGUGAAAUUCCAAUCGAGCCCGGAGAUAGCUGGUUCUCCCCGAAAUAGCUUUAGGGCUAGCCUCAAGGUGA